This 1313-nucleotide long non-coding RNA is filed under the name Selaginella moellendorffii. Its description in RNAcentral is "long non-coding RNA (SMOE_LNC000077)". Lineage: Eukaryota; Viridiplantae; Streptophyta; Lycopodiopsida; Selaginellales; Selaginellaceae. The record is from RNAcentral.
CAGGAUAUGAUUGCUGGAGGAACAGACACGAGUGCUAUCACUGUGGAAUGGGCAUUAGCUGAGCUACUGAAGCAUCCAGAUUUGAUGGCUAAAGCACAGGAAGAACUUGACAACGUUCUAGGAAGAAAGUCUCAGGUUCAGGGGGGUCACCUUCCCAAGCUCGAAUAUCUUGCUGCAGUGAUCAAAGAAACGCUCCGGCUCCAUCCACCGGGUCCGCUGCUUAUCCACGAGACAACACAAAACUGUCAGCUCAAGAACGUAUUUGUACCACAAAAAACUCUAGCCUUUAUCAACCUCUAUGCAUUGGGCAGGGACGAGAGUACCUGGGUCGACCCUCUGAAGUUUGAUCCGAACAGGUUCAUAGAUAAGAAAAACGAUGGCUGUGGUCACGACUUUGGAGAUUACCUUCCAUUUGGAGCUGGUCGACGUGGUUGUCCUGGUAUGCAUCUGGCACUCACAGUGGUUUCGGUUACGUUGGCGAGCUUGUUGUAUGGCUUCAACUGGAAAAUGCCAGACGGUAUGAGCUUCGAGCAUUUGGAUAUGAGUGAGGGAGCUGGAUUCACCAUUCCCCGUGCACUUCCCUUGAAGCUUGUUCCUUUGCCUCGAUAAACAUAAAAACUGCUUUGUCUCCUGAUAAUUAAGAGGUUAGAUAAUACUUAAUAAUAAAUUGAGUUAAAAAAACGUUAAAUGUCAACAGUCGCGACCGGUGAGUGUCCAAAGGUGACGUACCGGUUUUACUGGAAAUCAUCGCAGUUCCAUUCUCAUCACGGAGCCUGCGAGCGAGGUUCCGGUCCAAGUCGAGGCUGCAGCAAGCGAUUCACUUCACGCCGAUCCUGAAAAGCAGCAGCAAGAUCAAGAGCAGCAAAAUCAUCCGCAGGAACAGCAGCAGCAUCAAGAAAAGCCAAACAAAUCCGGUCACAAGAACUGUGUACCUCCAGUUCUAGUCCAAAAUUUCAAGCGGCCCAUCUGGAACCGCGACGCUCACGUCGAUUACCGCUCCAUCUACGACCGGGACACCACUUGCGGUGUUUUCGUUGGGAAGCUCCAGCCUCCAUCGCCGCCCAGGAGACCGCCACCCAAGCCGAAGAGGCAGCCGUCUCUCGUGCUCACGCAGAUCACCCUCGACUACACCAAGUACGUCGAUCCUCCUGCGCCGGUUGCCUUGUCUCCAAGGGACCUCGCCGACUUUGAGGCCUCCUUCGCAACUACAAGCCCAAGAGACGUAAGUUCUUUCUUUCCCGUGCUAGAAACUUGAAAAGAAGCUUUUUUUACCUCCGCAGAAGAAAAAGAAGUAAGCGAUGGCAAGCACCUCC